Molecule: ribosomal RNA, 566 nt
Filed under: Brevibacterium sp.
Lineage: Bacteria; Bacillati; Actinomycetota; Actinomycetes; Micrococcales; Brevibacteriaceae
Description: bacterial SSU rRNA
Rfam family: Bacterial small subunit ribosomal RNA
Source: RNAcentral
AGCAGCAGUGGGGAUAUUGCACAAUGGGGGAAACCCUGAUGCAGCGACGCAGCGUGCGGGAUGACGGCCUUCGGGUUGUAAACCGCUUUCAGCAGGGAAGAAGCGAAAGUGACGGUACCUGCAGAAGAAGUACCGGCUAACUACGUGCCAGCAGCCGCGGUAAUACGUAGGGUACGAGCGUUGUCCGGAAUUAUUGGGCGUAAAGAGCUCGUAGGUGGUUGGUCACGUCUGCUGUGGAAACGCAACGCUUAACGUUGCGCGGGCAGUGGGUACGGGCUGACUAGAGUGCAGUAGGGGAGUCUGGAAUUCCUGGUGUAGCGGUGAAAUGCGCAGAUAUCAGGAGGAACACCGGUGGCGAAGGCGGGACUCUGGGCUGUAACUGACACUGAGGAGCGAAAGCAUGGGGAGCGAACAGGAUUAGAUACCCUGGUAGUCCAUGCCGUAAACGUUGGGCACUAGGUGUGGGGGACAUUCCACGUUCUCCGCGCCGUAGCUAACGCAUUAAGUGCCCCGCCUGGGGAGUACGGUCGCAAGGCUAAAACUCAAAGGAAUUGACGGGGCCCCCG